This 165-nucleotide non-coding RNA is filed under the name bovine gut metagenome. RNAcentral describes it as "Lysine riboswitch". It matches the Rfam family "Lysine riboswitch aptamer". Rfam says of the family: Riboswitches are metabolite binding domains within certain messenger RNAs that serve as precision sensors for their corresponding targets. Allosteric rearrangement of mRNA structure is mediated by ligand binding, and this results in modulation of gene expression. This family includes riboswitches that sense lysine in a number of genes involved in lysine metabolism, including lysC. The record is from RNAcentral.
GAUAGAGGUGCGGUAUUGCGUGUAAGGGAGAGGAGGCUGCCAGAGCCGGUGAUUCUUCGUGAAGAGCCUUAUCGCCGAAGGAAGUACAUGGCAGGUACUUGCCUGGUUAUGCGUUGGAGUCAGCGCCUGACUGUCAUCAUAGAGUAUAUGAUGGGGAGCUAUCGU